Molecule: ribosomal RNA, 254 nt
Filed under: uncultured bacterium
Lineage: Bacteria
Description: partial 16S ribosomal RNA
Rfam family: Bacterial small subunit ribosomal RNA
Source: RNAcentral
CACGUAGGGUGCGAGCGUUGCUCGGAAUUACUGGGCGUAAAGCGCGCGCAGGCGGCUCUUUAAGUCUCGUGGUCAAAUGCCGGGGCUCAACCCCGAGCGUGCCGGGGAUACUGGAGGGCUGGAGACAGGUAGAGGCAAGCGGAAUUCCGGGUGUAGCGGUGGAAUGCGUAGAGAUCCGGAAGAACACCGGAGGCGAAGGCGGCUUGCUGGGCUGACACUGACGCUGAGGCGCGAAAGCUAGGGGAGCGAACGGG